UGGGGAAUAUUGCACAAUGGGCGCAAGCCUGAUGCAGCCAUGCCGCGUGUAUGAAGAAGGCCUUCGGGUUGUAAAGUACUUUCAGCGAGGAGGAAGGCGUUGUGGUUAAUAACCGCAGCGAUUGACGUUACUCGCAGAAGAAGCACCGGCUAACUCCGUGCCAGCAGCCGCGGUAAUACGGAGGGUGCAAGCGUUAAUCGGAAUUACUGGGCGUAAAGCGCACGCAGGCGGUCUGUCAAGUCGGAUGUGAAAUCCCCGGGCUCAACCUGGGAACUGCAUCCGAAACUGGCAGGCUAGAGUCUUGUAGAGGGGGGUAGAAUUCCAGGUGUUGCGGUGAAAUGCGUAGAGAUCUGGAGGAAUACCGGUGGCGAAGGCGGCCCCCUGGACAAAGACUGACGCUCAGGUGCGAAAGCGUGGGGAGCAAACA
RNAcentral lists this ribosomal RNA (427 nucleotides) under uncultured bacterium. RNAcentral's name for it is "partial 16S ribosomal RNA". It matches the Rfam family "Bacterial small subunit ribosomal RNA", at positions 355 to 774 of the family's 1533-position model. The record is from RNAcentral.